This 1113-nucleotide long non-coding RNA is filed under the name Equus caballus (horse). RNAcentral's name for it is "lncRNA (ENSECAG00000053810.1)". The record is from RNAcentral. Lineage: Eukaryota; Metazoa; Chordata; Mammalia; Perissodactyla; Equidae.
AUUUGCUCACUGGAAUCUCCCAGAGCUGCUUCCAGCAGAAGCCACACAGGGAUGUUCCACGGUUCCUAUGGAGCAAGCACUGCCUCCUGCCAGUACAAGAGCGGCUUCAUCACAGUCACCCCUGGAACUUGUCGCCUUGCCCAUGACCCCAUCCAGGAGGGUCUUUACCCAAGUUUGUUUGUCCUUUUGAAUGUUCCACUUCCAAGGGCUGUGAUAACAAAAGAGCACUUUCACCAAACCAUGUUUCUUUCUCCCUGGCCAUUUAGUGCGAUCUCCAUUAUUCAUGAACUCUUCCAAUACUCUUCAUACCAAAAGCUCUCUGGCCAGAGGCAUAGAAUUGAUUUUGUGGAGUGGUUUGCAUGCUAUAAGAUGCUCUCAUUUAUUUAGCUGAAAGCCUCCUACCCUGGGCUGGGCGUCAAGCUGGGCCAGGCAGUGCAGGCAUAGGGUUUCUGGGUCUUGGAAAUCAUGGAACUCUGAGAUGAGGCCAAGGGGGGCCCAGAGCAAACAGAGGCUUCCUCCCUAAGGGGCUCCUGAUGCCCUUUCCUGCACUGGGUAAUGAAACUCCAAAGGCUAUUGCCAAAUUCUCUUCUGGCCAGUUCCCAGCUGUAGAAAUAUUCAAGCGAUAUUUGUAGAAAUGGAUUCCAUUGAAGACGUUAAGCCUUCUGAAUGGGCACGCCUCACUGGGCUCAAUUUACUCUGAAUAAAAUGCCCAAUGUGGUGGGAAAAGGAUGGACCUUCCAAUCAGACGCAUUUGAGUUCAAACACCAGUCCUGCUGCUAAAGAAAUGACCCCAUCUCUCCCAACUUCUGUUUCCUCACUUAUAAAAUGGGCUAGUAUGCAAAUUAAGUGGUAAAAACCAUGGGAGCACCCACAGCAGGGCUUGGCACAGAUGAAUGCCCCCAAUAAUGGUAGUGCCCUCUGAUUACCAAGAGCUUCUUACCAACCCCUUGUGAGCACUAACAAGGGCUUUCUUCAUUUACUCAGCAAAGUAAACUGCUGCUGAAUCUCUUUGGCCCUUGUGUUAGGCAAAAUAAUGUCCCUCUGCCAAAUAUAUCCACGUCUUAAUUUCCUAAACUUAUGAACGUUACUUUACAUGGCAAAAGAAAUUUUGCA